AUCACCCAUCAUACAUUCUUCAUC
This 24-nucleotide non-coding RNA is filed under the name Arabidopsis thaliana (thale cress). The record is from RNAcentral. Lineage: Eukaryota; Viridiplantae; Streptophyta; Magnoliopsida; Brassicales; Brassicaceae.